Long non-coding RNA from Strigops habroptila (Kakapo), 1602 nucleotides. The record is from Ensembl. Lineage: Eukaryota; Metazoa; Chordata; Aves; Psittaciformes; Psittacidae.
CAGUUGCUGAUCAAACUCAGCCCUUUAAGGCAAUUCCUCAGAUACCCAGGGCACUGUAUCUACAUCUUCAUUAGCAAUAAAGGGCACCAGCUUGAGGUAGACUCUGUAGACUGGGAAACAGGAAAGGGCUGUUUUCUAGCUCAAUCAUCAGCCUCACAACCGUACUUCAAAGUUAAACAGUCAAAAGAUGAUUGCAAGGGGAACAAAAAUAAAUAAUUAAGCAAGCAAAUAAAGCAAGAGUUAAGAAAAAAAAAAAAAAGGUAUUGAAAGAAAAAAGGCAAUUUUCUUACUCCAGCCAUAAACACCAGCCCUCUUGCUCAAAAAUCCUUCUGAGGAAUGCAAGCCCUAUACUGUCUGAGCCGGCAAAUGCAAUCUCACAGGCAGGAGGUGGGAAGAGCUGAACAUCUCUAGCAAUGCAUCUACCUGGAUCGUACAUUUCCUUCUCUGGCUUCAAGUGAAAUACAGGCUUGCACCUACCUGUAAACCAGGGCCAUUAGGCUGGAUACAGACUUCUACCUUACCACCCCAUAUCCACACCCCCCCCCAGUUCAGCAACAUCCCUACCCAUGCCCUCUGCUCACCCCCUGCCUCCUGCUGUCCAGGAAAACAAGCAAUUGCUUCUCAAGGCACCCAUCAGCGAUUGAAUAGAAACGUAGAUCCAUGAAGGGGUGAGAGCCACGCAUGAAACUCUGGAAUUUCCCAGUGUAACACUAGUAAAUCCACCAGUCCAACGUGGUGCUUUUCAUAGAAAAACAAAAGGGAGAGGAAGAACAAAAUCUACCAGGUCUCCUCCAUCUACCCACUGUCUUCACCACCCUAGUUGUCCAUGGCCAAAUCCAGCUGGAGCCUACAAGGCAUUUCCUAACUAGAAGCACACCCCUUGUCCUCACUGUCUCCCCAGCAUCCAGACCCUGAGAGAUGCUCCCCCAUUACCUGGAGGAUCCAGCCCCCCCGAAGGCAAAACUAUCCUUAUUACGAAAUAAUUAAAUCCAAGCGUGCACCCAAGGCAGCCGGCACCCUUCAGCCCAAUGCAACUGGGCAAGGGUGCAACUGACGGCCAGGCAAUGGCUGGUGAGCAUCCAUCCGUUGGGUGGUUAGUUACCUUUAGUCACCUCCAGCUCCUGAGAUGCAAGUCUCCAUCAGUUCCUCAACAACCUGCAGCAGGGAGCUGCUGCCACAAUCCAGCCAUUAAAACCAGGGGUGGGGGUAGGAAGCAAACCUGGCCACAGUACCAAAGCCCCCAGCCAGGAGGAAAAGGGGGGGAUGAGAAGCAAGGAACGUCCCUCAAGGAAGGAGAAAAAAAAAAAAAAAAAAAAAAGAAAAAAAAAGGAAAAAAAAAAAAAGGAAGAAGAAAAAGUCUCUCCUUUUCUGCCGUGUCUUCUGCUACACAGGCUUCCUAUCGGAGGACGGAGGGUGUGUGGAGAUGGGGGAGGCGAUCGCUCCCUUCUCUCCCCCGUCGUCGCCGACCCCUCUGGACCAAAGCCCCGCUCCGAUUUACCUCCUCCAGGUGGGCAACUUCAGAGCAAGGUGAUGUCUCCAGAGCCGGCAGCACCGGCCAGGCGAUUCGUAUGCGGCAGAGUCAUUGCCUGUGCUUUUGCUGCU